AUCUAUACCUGGCAGGGGAGAUACCGUGAUCAAGAAGGCGGUUCACCCAGGGCGAGGCUCAGCCAUUGCACUUCGGCUGUGCUGACCCCUGCGAAUUCCCCAAAUGUGGGAAUCUCGACUGCAUAAUUUCUGGUAGUGGGGGACUGCGUUCGCGCUCUCCCCUG
The sequence is a small nuclear RNA, 164 nucleotides long. Its record names the gene U1. It matches the Rfam family "U1 spliceosomal RNA". From Rfam's summary of the family: U1 is a small nuclear RNA (snRNA) component of the spliceosome (involved in pre-mRNA splicing). Its 5' end forms complementary base pairs with the 5' splice junction, thus defining the 5' donor site of an intron. There are significant differences in sequence and secondary structure between metazoan and yeast U1 snRNAs, the latter being much longer (568 nucleotides as compared to 164 nucleotides in human). The record is from Ensembl.